Bolinopsis microptera is the source of this 1709-nucleotide long non-coding RNA. RefSeq lists it as uncharacterized. The transcript has 7 exons. NCBI's taxonomy places the organism in Eukaryota, Metazoa, Ctenophora, Tentaculata, Lobata, Bolinopsidae. The record is from RefSeq and is a predicted model, not a curated record.
AGAAAGAAGGUGACAUGUUUAUGGACCCAGAACUAGCUAAGACAGUUCUCUGUGUACAUGCGGAUCACUUCAAGAAUCUUCCUGAUGAAAGAAGGUUGCGUGGUUUGUUAAAAGACUUCGAUCCGCUCACAGCCAUGCAGAUUAAGAAGAAUUUAGAUCGACAUUAUUUUGAUAACAAUGAAAACUCAAAUGCUUGGAACGAAAUGAGUGGAGUUGAACGACGCCCUGUUUAUUGAAACUUCAUCAAUCAACUUUUAAACUAUGCAGGGUUUCAAAAUGUACAAGGCAUCAUAUCAAAGAUUGCAUAUGCCCGAAAGAAGGACAAAUCCAAUUUGGCUUUCUGGAUGUAUGGAAAGCUCUCAACCUUCCAGAAAAGUACUUUUCAAAGGAACACUUAAAUCCCUCCGACAGGCCCUCUGGUGGUGACGUAUAUAAGUGCUUUCUCAGUUCUUUCUCUCGCUUUUGGACAAAUCCAAGUGCUGUAUCUGUACCCGAAUAGAAAUAAAGAUAAAAUAAAAAUUUUAAUGAAACAGUUUUCUUCCGCUCUGAAAGUGAACGAAUGACAAAACAGUCUAGAGAAUUCCUCGCCCUGCUGUAGAAGAUCAAUCCUGGGUUGUGCUCACCAAAGCAAACCUCUUUUUUGUGUAUUCAGUGUCUUAACUAUGUAAAAGACAACUAUAACAGGGUGUACAGUGCUGUUUCUGAAAUUGACGAAUCCUCUUGUGAUGAAGAUUGAAGAAGCUAUUGCCAUCCAAGUGGAAAAAGUCCCGCCUUUGUCACCCUCCUCGAAUAGAACUAAGAAAAUGUGGAGACUAUCUUCAUUUAGUUCCCAAUCAAGUGGACCAGAUGUUGAUUUGUUUGAAAUGGACUGAGACUUGUGUUUCAUAUGCCAGGUUGAACAGACGUUAGAAACGAAAAAGGAUAGUAUGAUUCAAGGAAAAGAUAAAAGUUUCUUCGUCGAUUUCGCAACAUACUAUCUGUGGACAUCUACAGAAAUCGUCAGGAUCUGUGCAACAUCGAUCUUAAUCCUGAUUCGCACAUGAACAAGUGCCCUGUUCUUAACCCUGAGAGUCUCGGAAAAUAUCUCUAUAGCAAGCUAGGUAGAUAUCACAAAACAUGUCGUUUGAGGUACAGCAACUCGAGGGUGAAACAAUUGAAGGGUAAAUUAUCUGAAGCUGUAAGUUUAAAACCUGUCUCUAAGGCAGGUUUUAAAAUGGAAAGACACGUGUCCACGCACGACAACACCAAUGCUGCAUUAAUGAGUGCAGGUAUUGACGCUGUACGGACCUUUUAACUGGAGCAGGAGAAUGUUUUACCAGAACUGUACCUCGUGUCUGACCUGAAGCUUAAGUACAAUGACUAUGUGACGUCUAAUUUAUCUGAGAACGCUGCAAACUCAAGCAAUGUUUAAUCUGAUCACAUCAGUUUUCAGAAAGACAAUGUCGGUAAGACGAGUUUGUUUCGACAGCAGAAUCGUAUCUAAUCUUGCCGCAACAAUAGAUGCGGAUAGAGAUGAUAACACUUUAACAAAGACAGCACUCAUAAUAUAAAGGAGAUCAGAAAAGAAAUCUUUCAAUGUAGAAACGAAUUCUAUCAGCUAUGUUCGAUUUACUGAUCGGUGGCAUCUGUAGAAAUAUAGUGUUUAUGUGGAUUAAUCUGUUAAAGCAGGGCUAUUGUAUCAUUUUAACAUUAACUUUGCAUAGUGAUGA